This 624-nucleotide ribosomal RNA is filed under the name uncultured bacterium. RNAcentral's name for it is "bacterial SSU rRNA". It matches the Rfam family "Bacterial small subunit ribosomal RNA", at positions 221 to 842 of the family's 1533-position model. The record is from RNAcentral.
ACGGAUGGCCAUGCGGCGCAUUAGCUAGUUGGCGGGGUAACGGCCCACCAAGGCGACGAUGCGUAGGGGUUCUGAGAGGAAGGUCCCCCACACUGGUACUGAGACACGGACCAGACUCCUACGGGAGGCAGCAGUGAGGAAUAUUGGUCAAUGGGCGCGAGCCUGAACCAGCCAAGUCGCGUGAGGGAAGACGGUCCUAUGGAUUGUAAACCUCUUUUGUCGGGGAGCAAAAGGCGCCACGUGUGGCGUUCCGAGAGUACCCGAAGAAAAAGCAUCGGCUAACUCCGUGCCAGCAGCCGCGGUAAUACGGAGGAUGCGAGCGUUAUCCGGAUUUAUUGGGUUUAAAGGGUGCGCAGGCGGAAGAUCAAGUCAGCGGUAAAAUUGAGAGGCUCAACCUCUUCGAGCCGUUGAAACUGGUUUUCUUGAGUGAGCGAGAAGUAUGCGGAAUGCGUGGUGUAGCGGUGAAAUGCAUAGAUAUCACGCAGAACUCCGAUUGCGAAGGCAGCAUACCGGCGCUCAACUGACGCUCAUGCACGAAAGUGUGGGUAUCGAACAGGAUUAGAUACCCUGGUAGUCCACACAGUAAACGAUGAAUACUAAUUGUUCGGGGAGAAUGAUCCCUGA